This 561-nucleotide ribosomal RNA is filed under the name uncultured Glomeromycotina. RNAcentral describes it as "SSU rRNA". It matches the Rfam family "Eukaryotic small subunit ribosomal RNA", at positions 549 to 1114 of the family's 1831-position model. Lineage: Eukaryota; Fungi; Glomeromycota. The record is from RNAcentral.
UGGAGGGCAAGUCUGGUGCCAGCAGCCGCGGUAAUUCCAGCUCCAAUAGCGUAUAUUAAAGUUGUUGCAGUUAAAAAGCUCGUAGUUGAAUUUCGGGGUUCUACCGUUGGUCGGGCUAUUGUCUGUACUGGCGUGUAGAAUUUCUACCUUCUGGGGAACUAUCAUGUUAUUAAUUUAGCGUGGUAGGAAACCAGGACCUUUACCUUGAAAAAAUUAGAGUGUUCAAAGCAGGCUUAUGUCUGAAUACAUUAGCAUGGAAUAAUAAAAUAGGACGGUGGUCCUGUUUUGUUGGUUUCUGAAUCACCGUAAUGAUUAAUGGGGAUAGUUGGGGGCAUUAGUAUUCAAUUGUCAGAGGUGAAAUUCUUGGAUUUAUUGAAGACUAACUACUGCGGAAGCAUUUGCCAAGGAUGUUUUCAUUAAUCAAGAACGAAAGUUAGGGGAUCGAAGACGAUCAGAUACCGUCGUAGUCUUAACCAUAAACUAUGCCGACUAGGGAUCGGAUGAUGUUAAUUUUUUAAUGACUCAUUCGGCGCCUUACGGGAAACCAAAGUGUUUGGGUUC